Nycticebus coucang (slow loris) is the source of this 198-nucleotide small nuclear RNA. RefSeq annotates it as U2 spliceosomal RNA. Lineage: Eukaryota; Metazoa; Chordata; Mammalia; Primates; Lorisidae. The transcript has a single exon. The record is from RefSeq and is a predicted model, not a curated record.
AUCACUUCUCAGCCUUUUGGCUAAGGUCAAGUGUAAUAUCUGUUCUUAUCAGUUUAAUAUCUGAUACAUCCUCUAGAGGAUAAUGAGGAUAAUGUAUUAAAUGGAGUUUUGGAGCAGGGAGUUGGAAUAGAAGCUUGCUCCAUCCUCUCCACAAAUUGACCCGGUAUUGCAGUAACAGUCCUCCCCAACUUUCUCAUA